UGGAGAUGAACCCUAGAAUUUGAAACAGGAUGAAUUUAGAACUUGAAUCUAGAUUAUGCAAGGCCAACUUUGCACGUGAUGCCAAAUUUCCACAAAGAUCUAAACAAUUCAUAGAAAGAGAAAUGAAAGAUGUUCAGGCUCAAGAAAUCGGGUAGCAAAUUGAGGAAGAGGCAAAUAAGACUUUUUGAUAAUGAUAGCCAAGAUAUUGAAAUUGAUA
RNAcentral lists this unclassified non-coding RNA (217 nucleotides) under Hevea brasiliensis (rubber tree). The record is from RNAcentral. Lineage: Eukaryota; Viridiplantae; Streptophyta; Magnoliopsida; Malpighiales; Euphorbiaceae.